CCGCGUCUGACCACGUACGGGGCCCGUCCACGUUCCGCCUCGGCGGCUGGAUGCAAGGGCCCGCGAUGGACCCGGCGGGGCGAAUGGGAGCACGCCCAUG
This is a non-coding RNA of Chloroflexi bacterium CSP1-4, 100 nucleotides long. The record is from Rfam. NCBI's taxonomy places the organism in Bacteria, Bacillati, Chloroflexota.